Podarcis lilfordi (Lilford's wall lizard) is the source of this 73-nucleotide non-coding RNA. The record is from the annotation of a GenBank genome assembly. Lineage: Eukaryota; Metazoa; Chordata; Lepidosauria; Squamata; Lacertidae.
GCUGGGAUAGUUCAGUUGAUGGAGUAUAAAACUGUUAAUCUCAGAGUUGUGGGUUCAAGCCCCACGUUGGGCA